Molecule: non-coding RNA, 3126 nt
Organism: Sus scrofa (pig)
Lineage: Eukaryota; Metazoa; Chordata; Mammalia; Artiodactyla; Suidae
Source: RefSeq, a predicted model, not a curated record
UAGGGGUCCUUAGGGUGGGCCAACUUGGGGCCCUGCGUCCGCACCCGAAAGCGCGAGCCGACGCGGGAGGAAGUCGGGACCGCGCGUGGGCGCCGCACCCUUGGCGGUGGAGGUUGGCGGGAACCCUCGGCCGCUCGGGGGAGCUGGCUCGGGAGCACCGGGAGGUGGAAGCCCGCGCGCCGCACUCCCGGGGCCGCAAUGCGGCCGCCGCGCUCCGCGGGUCGGCUGCUUCCCUGCUCAGCUCGCGGCGGGCAGGCAGCCCCCGGGAAAGCAGAGGAGGGGCGGGGCACGCGCGGGUCCGCGGGUCACUUUAGAGAAACCCUGCGAGGGUCGCGGUCCCUGAACAGUCGCGGGAGACAGGGAGACGCCCCCCGCGCGCGCGGAAGUCUUGACUGAGAACAACAACUUUUGGGUCAUUUCCUCCGGCUCGAACCGGCGCUGGGGAUUCCGAAGAGCUGGCGCGGGCGGCGAGCCGUGGGCGGUGUUGGGAUGGGCGCCCGGGUUGGGAGAGCCGGGGUGUGACCCGCCAGAAUCCUCCGAAGGUGGCAGCGGACGCGGGACUUUGGGUCAGAGGGUUGGGGCUGGGAGGGGCGGCCGAGAACUGAUUUGUGGCCGGGAUCCUUUUUUCGUCAGCUGCGCCGGCCCGCGGGGGAAGUGAUGGGAGGAGGAAGCCCUUGGGCAGGGUGGAUCGCUGGGCUUUUCCUACAGUCCAGAGGACCAGGGGCCUAGGGGCAAGCCUGGGGCGCCCCAUUUCUAGUUUAAAAUUGCUCACAAGUAGUGGAAGGGAAAGAGGGAGAGCCCUUUAAGAGUCAACAAACAAAAGGGGUGGGAGGAGGCGAGGAAGAUGCGAGCAAUCGAAGGAGAGGAGGAGAAAGUCAGGUCCCUAAAGAGAACACUGUCAGGGAAUGAUGACUUAAUGAGUCCCUCCAGAAGACUGGCAAUUAAAUUACCAGGCAGUCUCCGACUCAGUUUCCUGGACGCCGAAUUAGUUUAAAUAACAUAACAGUUCCUUCUCAUGUACUAAUGCUCUUCUCUAAUAUAUGCUUUACUAAUACGUUCUAAUAUAUUCUCUAAUGACUUUAAAAGUAACUUAAUUUUAGGAGUUAGAUGUGAUUUUUCGUUCACAUUUUAGAUACCACUCAUUUAUUUUUCAGUUUUUUCCAGCUCUAAAGAGAUAUAUAAUUGACAUAUAACAAGGUGUAAGUUUAAGGUGUACAACGUGUUGAUUUGACACAUUUAUAUGUUGCAAAAUGAUUACCUCCAUGGAGUUAGCUAACAACCUCCAUCAUGUGGCUUAAUUUCUUUUUUUGUGGUGAGGACACUUAAGAGUUUCUCUUCUAGCGACUUUAAAGUAUAUGAUACAAUGUUAUUAACUUCAAUCACUUUCUGUAUGUUAGAUCUCCAGAACUUACUCAUCUUAUAACUAGAAGUGUACCCUUUGGACCAAUAUCUCCUCACCCCACGCCUUCUCCUGUUUUUGUGAGCUCACCUUUUUUAUAUUUCACUUGUAAGUGAUAGCACAGAAGUGUUUGCCUUUCUCUGUCUUUUUUUUUUUUACUUAUCAUAAUGCUCUCAAGUUUCACCCCUUUUGUUGCAAGCAGCAGAAUUUCCUUCUUUCUCAUGGCUGAAUAAUACUCCUGUGUGUGUAACUACUUCAUCUCUGUCCAUUCAUGUGUACACAGACGAUGCCUUUUUGUAUCUUGGCUAUUGGAGGCACUGCUCAUUUAAAUCCAAAAACGAAUGGAAGGAAUUACAUAUACUCCAUGGUUCAGCUUUACCUUUCAUUCACUUGAGAAAAAUUUAUUAGGUAUCCAUCCUUAUGGAGGGAACAAGUAGUAGUAUUUUUUUUUUUUUUAUAGGAGAGAAGACUGAAACUCACAUGUUGAUCUGCUUAGCCUCUUACACAGCUAAUUAAGAUUCAGACCCAGGUUUUCUGACUUGCAAGCCUUGUGCAGAUUGAUUCCCUUUCCACCUGGUCACUCCAGCUGUCAGAUAAUAUAUAAUGCUACUAUUUAGCAGCAUGUAAUAGUAAAUCAUGAUUACAUAAAAAUAGAGAUCAUGGGAACAAACUUUUAAAAGUUAGAAUAGAAUGAGCACAAUCUGUUUCAUAGGAAGACACUCUGGUCUAUUAUGGUGUGGUAUCACCACUGAGAGUUGUAAAUAAAUACAGGUAAAAACCCAAAUGGAAACUGAAGCAAGCAAGAGACUCUGAGCUUUGUUCCACUGGACCAUCAUUAGAUCUCAAUUUAGACAGAAAACUAACUUGGUCUAGUCUGUAUUUACCUGAUGGUUGUAUCAAAUCAAGCAGUAUAGUUAUAUUUAAAAAAGUAAACCUCUCUACUCCUUGAUCCUGCUCUCCAUCGUCUACUGACAUUAAUACUUUAGUGGGUAUAGGGGUCAAGUCAGCCUCUUUUUAUGUCAUCAACAAAUAUCAUCAGGUCUCAGCAGUUUGGGGUUGUUAUUUAAAUUUAAUGUGGGUCACAGUGCUUUUAUAUCAAGAGAAGAUGUUUACCAUGCCAAUGGAAAAGUUAUGUCAUUGUAAAAUAAUAAGCCUUUUUAGAGGUUCUUGGAACCUUUGAUACAGCCUUUUACAAUUUCCAACUAUGAGAGAGGAGACUGGUGAUGUGAAGAUUAUAGUUUUAACUUCUGCAUCUAGUUUUGUAAUACAGGGCCAUGUUCAAGCCAUUGGCUAACAGAUUUCUCCUGGUAUUUGAUUGUCACUGCUAAGUUUUAUAAUUUAAAAGCCACGCAGUGUCUCUUCUUGUUAAUGUGGAAAGUGAUAGAAAUAUCUUUUAUAGCCAGAAUAUAGAUAUUUAGUAGGCUGUUUUGUUUCUUGCAUUUUCAUGGUUCAGACUUGGCUGAGGGAAGAAAGAAAGAAAGGCGUUAUCAGGAGCAAGUCAGAUAGUUCAGGCAAAAAGGUUUUUUGUUUGUUUGUUUAGAAGGUUUAGUUUGGGUAAACUAAAAAAAAAAAAGCACAACCUAAAGUUAUGUUUUAUUCAGGACCUUACUGAGGACUAUGGCCUGGAAGCCAGCUUCUCAGCUGGCUUUGAGGGGCUGUUUCAAAGAGGUAAGGGAAGAGUCAGGAUGUACAGGAGUUUUGGGCAGGAGAAAAAAAAAAAAAAAAAA